RNAcentral lists this ribosomal RNA (1460 nucleotides) under Desmonostoc muscorum MBG-AL215. Its description in RNAcentral is "bacterial SSU rRNA". It matches the Rfam family "Bacterial small subunit ribosomal RNA". The record is from RNAcentral. Lineage: Bacteria; Bacillati; Cyanobacteriota; Cyanophyceae; Nostocales; Nostocaceae.
CAAACUCCCGUUAAAAAAUUCAUGCCAAGUCUAACGGAAUCUUCGGAUUUAGUGGCGGACGGGUGAGUAACGCGUGACAAUCUGGCUCUAGGUCGGGGACAACAGUUGGAAACGACUGCUAAUACCGGAUGUGCCGAAAGGUAAAAGGCUUGCUGCCUAGAGAUGAGCUCGCGUCUGAUUAGCUAGUUGGUGUGGUAAGAGCGCACCAAGGCGACGAUCAGUAGCUGGUCUGAGAGGAUGAUCAGCCACACUGGGACUGAGACACGGCCCAGACUCCUACGGGAGGCAGCAGUGGGGAAUUUUCCGCAAUGGGCGAAAGCCUGACGGAGCAAUACCGCGUGAGGGAGGAAGGCUCUUGGGUUGUAAACCUCUUUUCUCAAGGAAUAAGUUCUGAAGGUACUUGAGGAAUAAGCAUCGGCUAACUCCGUGCCAGCAGCCGCGGUAAUACGGAGGAUGCAAGCGUUAUCCGGAAUGAUUGGGCGUAAAGGGUCCGCAGGUGGGCAACUGUAAGUCUGGCUGUCAAAAGAAUGAGGGCUCAACCUUCAUCAAGGGCAAGUGGGAAACUACAGAGCUAGGAGUACGGUCGUGGGUAGAAGGAAUUCCUGGUGUAGCGGGUGAAAUGCGUAAGAGAUCAGGAAGAACACCGGUGGCGAAAAGCGUUCUGCUAAGGCCUGUACUUGACACUGAGGGGACGAAAGCUAGGGGAGCGAAUGGGAUUUAGAUACCCCAGUAGUCCUAGCCGUAAACGAUGGAUACUAGGCGUGGCUUGUAUCGACCCGAGCCGUGCCGGAGCCAACGCGUUAAGUAUCCCGCCUGGGGAGUACGCACGCAAGUGUGAAACUCAAAGGAAUUGACGGGGGCCCGCACAAGCGGUGGGAGUAUGUGGUUUAAUUCGAUGCAACGCGAAAGAAACCUUACCAAGACUUGACAUGUCGCGAAUUCCCGGUGAAAGCUGGGGAGUGCCUUUCGGGAGCGCGAACACAAGGUGGUUGCAUGGCUGUCGUCAGCUCGUUGUCGUGAGAUGUUGGGGUUAAGUUCCCCGCAAACGGAGCGCCAACCCCUCGUUUUUUUAAGUUGCCAGCCAUUUAAAGUUUGGGGCACCUCCUAAAGAAGACUUGCCCGGUGAACAAAACCGGAAGAAAGGGUGGGGGGAAUGAACCGUCCAAGUUCCAGCCAAUUGCCCCUUACGUCUUGGGCUACACACGUACUACAAUGCUACGGACAGAGGGCAGCAAGCCGGCGACGGCAAGCAAAUCCCGUAAACCGGAGCUCAGUUCAGAUCGCAGGCUGCAACUCGCCUGCGUGAAGGAGGAAUCGCUAGUAAUUGCAGGUCAGCAUACUGCAGUGAAUUCGUUCCCGGGCCUUGUACACACCGCCCUUCACACCAUGGAAGCUGGCAACGCCCGAAGUCUUUACUCCGAACCCAUGGGGCUAGGAUGCCUAUUCGCAGGUGGUUGCGA